This is a non-coding RNA of Paramuricea clavata, 337 nucleotides long. The record is from the annotation of a GenBank genome assembly. Lineage: Eukaryota; Metazoa; Cnidaria; Anthozoa; Malacalcyonacea; Plexauridae.
UGGCUUUAAAGUGGCACUCGCGUCAAAAUUUUUAUUUUCUUAUUUUCUUAUUUCCUUAAAAUGCUCUUAAAACUGAAUAGUAACUUGUUUUGAAGAUUUUAGUUCUUGAGAUAUUUUAUCUUGUUUGUAAAAAUAUGUGGGUUUCCGGUUUCCCGACCCUACCUAGCUUUUGGACGUCGAAAUCCCGACCCUAAACUUUUUUAUUGGAUCAUGCUUGUAAGUGUUUCCACUUAGAGGAAAAAGUUUGUGGAAAAUUGAAAUUUGAGGCAAUAUUAGGGAAAUUUAUCUUUGGACGUGGAAGCACUGACUAAACAAAAUGGCGUCCGCUUGUUCGGAA